GAUGAACGCUGGCGGCGUGCCUAACACAUGCAAGUCGAGCGAUUCUCUUCGGAGAAGAGCGGCGGACGGGUGAGUAACGCGUGGGUAACCUGCCCUGUACACACGGAUAACAUACCGAAAGGUAUGCUAAUACGAGAUAAUAUGCUUUAUCGCAUGGUAGAAGUAUCAAAGCUUUUGCGGUACAGGAUGGACCCGCGUCUGAUUAGCUAGUUGGUAAGGUAACGGCUUACCAAGGCGACGAUCAGUAGCCGACCUGAGAGGGUGAUCGGCCACAUUGGAACUGAGACACGGUCCAAACUCCUACGGGAGGCAGCAGUGGGGAAUAUUGCACAAUGGGCGGAAGCCUGAUGCAGCAACGCCGCGUGAGCGAUGAAGGCCUUCGGGUCGUAAAGCUCUGUCCUCAGGAAGAUAAUGACGGUACUUGAGGAGGAAGCCCGGCUAACUACGUGCCAGCAG
Molecule: ribosomal RNA, 456 nt
Filed under: uncultured bacterium
Lineage: Bacteria
Description: bacterial SSU rRNA
Rfam family: Bacterial small subunit ribosomal RNA
Source: RNAcentral